GACGAACGCUGGCGGCGUGCUUAACACAUGCAAGUCGAACGGUAAGGCCCUUCGUGGUACACGAGUGGCGAACGGGUGAGUAACACGUGGGUGAUCUGCCCCGCACGUCGGGAUAAGCCUGGGAAACUGGGUUUAAUACCGGAUAGGACCCAGGGAUGCAUGUCCUGGGGGGGAAAGCUUUGGCGGAGUGGGAUGGGCCGGCGGCCUAUCAGCUUGUUGGUGGGGUGAUGGACUACCAAGGCGACGACGGGUAGCCGGCCUCGUGAGGGUGACCGGCCACACUGGGACUGAGAUACGGCCCAGACUCCUACGGGAGGCAGCAGUGGGGAUAUUGCACAAUGGGCGCAAGCCUGAUGCAGCGACGCCGCGUGAGGGAUGACGGCCUUCGGGUUGUAAACCUCUUUCAGCACCGACGAAGCGCAAGUGACGGUAGGUGCAGAAGAAGGACCGGCCAACUACGUGCCAGCCGCCGCCGUAA
RNAcentral lists this ribosomal RNA (478 nucleotides) under uncultured bacterium. RNAcentral describes it as "partial 16S ribosomal RNA". It matches the Rfam family "Bacterial small subunit ribosomal RNA", at positions 28 to 523 of the family's 1533-position model. The record is from RNAcentral.